Molecule: long non-coding RNA, 2336 nt
Organism: Bombus impatiens (common eastern bumble bee)
Lineage: Eukaryota; Metazoa; Arthropoda; Insecta; Hymenoptera; Apidae
Exons: 3
Source: RefSeq, a predicted model, not a curated record
AGGAGGAGGAGGAGGAGGAGGAGGAGGAGAGGGCAAGCAGAAGUUGGCGAGCUUGGUGGAAAGGGAUGGAGGACAAGUUAGAAAGAGAGCUAACUGAGUGACGGAGAGGUUUUGUAGGGGUAGGGUCAGGAGAGGUAAAGGGGAGGAAAAGGGAGUCGGAGGGAGGCAUAUGAGACAUUCCUUCAGUGAACGGGUCGACCGAGUGUGAGUGCAAGCGAGCCGGUAAAAUCGAUGUGGCGAAGUGUAGCUGUGCCACUACGGCGUGCAAAGGGUGUGCUGUACCCUAUACGUGAUCAGUAAUUUGCCUUGUGACGUUGUGUCGUACAGUCAAAUACAUUACAGUAUUAGGUGUUCAAUUUUAUGUAUCGACCAAAUCAGAUACGUCUAUAUAAUAAAUAUCCACUAUGUAUCUAAGAAAUAUGGAGCAAAAUGUUUUUUUCGAAGUAAUAUACGCAUAUGUUCAUUUUUUAAUGUCGCUAACAUGAAUCAAAAGUAGGUAUUAAACUGUAUAUAUUACGGUGGCGUAGUACUCUUUUAUAUAUAAUACAAUAUGCCUGUGCAUAAAUACAUAUUAUUUAUUACUUCCUCCUCAUUUUCAUCCUUCGCUUAUUUAAUUAUUAUAUUAUUGUUCUUAUAAUAAAUAUAGGAUUUUAAAAAUUAUGUCAAGAAAUUUUUUUACAUGUGUUCAUUAUAUUAUGAUAACGUAUUUGAAAACCACUAAGCAUUUGAAAAAUUUUUCCGAUGGCAUAUAAAUCUCUCAAUAAAAUUUCGGUAUUGUAAUAAUGAAAUGUCAAGAUACUCAAUGUUGGCAAAAGUACAUACCUAAUGCGUAUAUAUAAACCUGUCGAAGCACGCUUGAAGUUAGCUGCAACAUUGUUUUAUUUCGUAGGAUCUUGUACUGACUUGCAUAGUCGUAUUAAGUAUCGUGUAUUGAGAGUGGCACCUGCCUCGGAAUCAGAAGAACAGAGCGCCCUCGCAGUGAUUCUACUAGUUACGCUCCUGAAAUACGCCGUGCCGACGUGUGUUUCAGCCAGUGCGAGGGCGUAUUAGCGAGAUGUAGACCUAGUGGUGGGGAUUGAAAGAACGAAGCGUACGUAUGAGAUGACGGCUCGACGAACGAACAUAACUGGUCAGACCAGCGGCCUGGCGAGAACGCAUAAUAGGUUUAGGUUGAAUCACGCAGUGUUUCUUGCUAUGUAAUCGCGUUUUUACAGUGUAUAGUGCGGUUCUAUACUAUUUAUCAUAGUGUUUAGUUUUCAUUUUAUUUUCACGAUCGUUUACUAAUUGCUCACAUCUGGAUACAUUAUUAGUACAAUUUGUCGAUUAAAAAUUGUUGUGAUGUCUUAUUUGUGUGUUCAUAUUUAGAAGAAUGUUUUUGAGCGAUUUUAUAUUCGCAUAUCUGUGAUUACUAUGAUACAUAUUUUUUUGUAAUUUAAUAUGUUAGUUAUUUCAUUAUACACAACUUGAUAUUGUGCGCACUUGAUAUCGUGAUUUGAGAUUAUAUCACUUUUGUUAUUGUUAUCACUUUUAUUACAAUUGCGAACUUUGAUAAAAUUAUGAAAUAUCGAAGUGCGGAAAUCAUUACUAAAAUAGUGUCAGCGUUUAUGCGUGUCUUCUGUUUUCUGACGGCACAGUUGAACAAGACGACGAAAUAGAAGUAUAUACCUCAUACUAUCGAUGUGAUACUCAGACAAGGAGCAACGUUGCAAUAUUUCGGAUACUGUGACAACAUCGCAUCAACGCAGUGUUUCCAUUUUUCGAUAUGACACACAGUAUUGUGCCAUUAAUCCGCUGCUGUUGAUUUUAUUCUUAAAACAUUCGGAAAGAGAUUGACUGAGAAACAACGAAGAUGGGACUGGAAAUUCAUUUGACUGUGAAAUUUGUGAUCGACGUUUUAGCAAUUGUCGAUGAAGAUAUCAAGAAAAUCUUCAAAUCGUUAAAAAGUUAUUCCAAGGAAAAUUAGCUCGGCAUGACUCUUUUUCAUUACCUGGAAAAGAAGAAUAUAUCUCUUGGACGUGUUCAUCAGCCCGAUGUUACUUUAUAGAAUCGAGAUGUGGCGACAGUAAAAAAAGGACGAAAUGGCGAUAGGAUUGUAUAGAAAUAUUCCAGAUUACACGUGGAGAUUGGAAUCAAGCAUAGCGAGAAUAAGUAUACAGAUCAAACAGAGAACCGAUAAGUAUGGCAUACUGAUCAUAGUUAAAAUGAAAGAAAACGAUGAUUUAGGAUUUGCCUAAAAGAAGAUUUGGGGGUACAAAAUGGCAAAUCUUUAGAAUGGGAAACAGAGUCUAUUAAAGCUUUAGAAGUAGGAAUAAAGCUGAUCAGGAAUAUGACAUCCU